Molecule: long non-coding RNA, 1074 nt
Filed under: Olea europaea subsp. europaea
Lineage: Eukaryota; Viridiplantae; Streptophyta; Magnoliopsida; Lamiales; Oleaceae
Source: RNAcentral
UCAUACUUUGAAUACACAAAUCAAUUUUCAUUCUCAUAGAAAAAAUUGUUUAAUAAAUAAUAGCAAUAAUUCGUUAAAUUAAGUGGAAAUUAUAGGGUUCCCUACAUUAAAAAUCCAAAAUUCAAAAAUGAGGUAGGUAGUUUCAUUGUUCCAAAAUCAGAUGUUUUGCUAAAUAUAUAUACUUCAAAAAACCCUAAUUAUUCCCAUUUUCAUUCCCCCCACCCCGAUUCUCUCUCUCACAUCUCUCUCUCAACUGCCCGGCGAUAGACGAUGGAGGAGUUACACCGUUGCAACGUUGCCAACCAUGCUGUUGUGAAUGUCCCCUUUGCAGAGUCGACGUACUGAUGGCGAGGGUGAAUCUGUGGAUCUGUAGUGUGCGUGCGGUGGUGGUUCAAUGAAUUGAUGUGUGUUAGAUCUGUGGAUUUGUGGUUGGUUUGGUGGUUGUGGAACGGCGGGCGUGGUGGAUACGUGCAACGAUGCGAACUGAUGUGUGUGUGUUGUGCGUGCGAUGGUGGUUUGACGAGCUGGUGUGCGUGUGGAUCUGUGGUGGUUGUGGAGUGGUUUGGGGGUGGGUUUUGUUGGGUGUGGUGGCGGUAGAGGAGGCAGUGCUGGUUGUUGGGGGUGGAUGCCGUGGUUGUGGAAUGAUUUGGGGAUGGUGCUGGCUGCGUUAGCGGUGCUGAAAUUUGUGACCAUGAUUGUGACUCCCAAUUGUGACUUGCAAUUGGAUAGGUAAUCUAAAAAAUUGUGACCGUGACUCACAAUUGAUGAAAUUGUGACCGAAAAAUUAAUCAUGACCAAUAUUCCAAUAAUUUGCAAUAAAAAUAAUAUGUGACCUAAAAGUUUUGGAUUCUGUGACCGAUAAAUAAUUUGUGACCUAUAAAAUUUUUGGAUUUGUUACCGAAAAGAUUUCUGUGACCGAUAAAAUUUUCGAUUAAAUAAGUUGUGACAAAAAAAAUUGAUAAGUUGUAACUAAAAUUUAAUCCGUGAAUAAUUAAUGAGAUAACUGUAACUAAAAACUGUGACCUCAAUAUAUUUAAUUAAUAAAAUAUAUAUUUAAUAAAUUAAUUUAUAAAU